This 581-nucleotide long non-coding RNA is filed under the name Equus caballus (horse). Its description in RNAcentral is "lncRNA (ENSECAG00000046754.1)". Lineage: Eukaryota; Metazoa; Chordata; Mammalia; Perissodactyla; Equidae. The record is from RNAcentral.
AGGGAGCACAGACUCAGUAAAAGCCUUGCGUUGUUAGUCCUGCACUGCUUACAAGAGAUGCGACUCCAGCUCCAGAUCAUCAAAGAGCCCACAUAUCACAGUAUUAGAGUGAUUGGGUGAUGUGUAUCUCGCCGCCCGGUCCGACAGACCCAGACGCCCAGAGGACAGAUCUGCUCUCUCACCUUUGCGGGUCCUGAUACACCUAUGAUACCGCUUUGCCCACAAGGGAGGUUUCCAAGAUCAAAUAAGUUCCUGUGGUCAAGUGCUUGGCACUGUGCCUGGCCCUCAUCUGCUGUGGAAAGUGACGCACACCAUCAUCAGGGCCAGGUGACGGGGAAGCUCCCGGACAAGCUAGCCAAACCCAGGAGGGAAAUGAAGCAUGGGAUAUACAACUCAACGGACCCAGCACCACUGCCCGGAUGCCCAAGAAUCAGAAGGUGGUCCUCAACGGCUGCAGUUCUCCAGAUCCUCGCUAGAGGGCGAUUUAACAUAUUUGCUCUCCCCAGAUUACUUGAAUUUACCCACGUUUAUGAGGCCCAGCCCUCUGACCCUGUCAGUUGACUCCCUCACAGCAAAUGACU